Molecule: long non-coding RNA, 827 nt
Filed under: Salmo salar (Atlantic salmon)
Lineage: Eukaryota; Metazoa; Chordata; Actinopteri; Salmoniformes; Salmonidae
Description: lncRNA (ENSSSAG00000113490.1)
Source: RNAcentral
GAAAGAGCAGGUGUUCAUAAGGUUUUGUAUUUAGAGUAAAACCUUGUAUCUGUAUGUUAAUGAUACAUCUUAGUUUUACAGAUCGUAUAAUGUCUUGCACAAGAUCAACCGGCUAUAUACUCUAUGUAUGGACAAUAGAAAGCCAAGUAUUACAGGCCAUUUCUUUUGAGACGUUAGAGCUUUUUUUUGCUGUGAAUGUCUGAAGCUCUCACAACAGGAAAGAUAGGGGUCGGUCAGCACGGAGGACGCUCUCACAACAGGAAAGAGGACGCUCUCGCAACAGGAAAGGUGGGGGUCGGUCAGCACGGAGGACGCUCUCGCAACAGGAAAGGUGGGGGUCGGUCAGCACGGAGGACGCUCUCGCAACAGGAAAGGUGGGGGUCGGUCAGCACGGAGGACGCUCUCGCAACAGGAAAGGUGGGGGUCGGUCAGCACGGGGGAUGCUCCUAUAUCCACAUCAAAGCUUAUUCAGACGUCCAGCUGUCUCACUCUCUUAUCUUACUUUCGGAGAAUCAUACAUUUGCUCAACUUUUUUCCUCAGUGAAAAAUACUGUGAGGGAAGGAAACCCGAUGGCAAACAGCAUUUGUUAUCAAUACUGUAUCAUAGAGCUGUUUGACAGCUGUCAACCCAGGUGAUAUAUUGGCUGUCUGGACAUUGCUAGUCCAGCAGUCACUGAGGAGGUGACAUAAAUACCAGUGCGCUGGGUCAAAGGUCACAGGGAAUAGCGGGUCUGAGGGAGUCACAUGAAAGACUGUGUAUGACCGCAGCAGACACUUUAUUACCUCUAAAGAAUGAAUGAUGGCUCAAGCUGGGCCGGGGGUGACUG